CCCUCGUCCAAGGGGAGCCCCGCGUGAGGGGCUGAGAGACUGCUGUGCCGAUGGCCGUGCGGAAACCCUUUGAACCUGAUCCGGGUGAUGCCGGCGUAGGGAUGGAUCCAUCGGUCAGC
RNAcentral lists this non-coding RNA (119 nucleotides) under Pararhodospirillum photometricum. RNAcentral's name for it is "Rhodospirillum photometricum TPP sequence". It matches the Rfam family "TPP riboswitch aptamer (THI element)". Rfam says of the family: Vitamin B(1) in its active form thiamin pyrophosphate (TPP) is an essential coenzyme that is synthesised by coupling of pyrimidine and thiazole moieties in bacteria. The previously detected thiamin-regulatory element, thi box was extended, resulting in a new, highly conserved RNA secondary structure, the THI element, which is widely distributed in eubacteria and also occurs in some archaea. RNAcentral also lists the same sequence under 1 other name. Lineage: Bacteria; Pseudomonadati; Pseudomonadota; Alphaproteobacteria; Rhodospirillales; Rhodospirillaceae. The record is from RNAcentral.